UACGGAGGGUGCAAGCGUUAUCCGGAUUCACUGGGUUUAAAGGGUGCGUAGGCGGGCAGGUAAGUCCGUGGUGAAAUCUCUGAGCUUAACUCAGAAACUGCCAUGGAUACUAUUUGUCUUGAAUGUUGUGGAGGUAAGCGGAAUAUGUCAUGUAGCGGUGAAAUGCUUAGAUAUGACAUAGAACACCAAUUGCGAAGGCAGCUUACUACACAAAUAUUGACGCUGGGGCACGAAAGCGUGGGGAUCAAACAGG
Molecule: ribosomal RNA, 253 nt
Filed under: uncultured bacterium
Lineage: Bacteria
Description: partial 16S ribosomal RNA
Rfam family: Bacterial small subunit ribosomal RNA
Source: RNAcentral